UACGUAGGGACCGAGCGUUGUCCGGAAUCAUUGGGCGUAAAGAGCGUGUAGGCGGCUAUUUAAGUCCUGCGUGAAAUCCUGCGGCUCAACCGCAGACGGUCGUGGGAAACUGGAUGGCUAGAGUGCGGGAGAGGAGAGUGGAAUUCCCGGUGUAGCGGCGAAAUGCGCAGAUAUCAGGAAGAACACCCGUGGCUAAGGCGGCUCUCUAGUACGGUACUGACGCUGAGACGCGAAAGCGUGGGGAGCGAACAGG
Molecule: ribosomal RNA, 253 nt
Filed under: uncultured bacterium
Lineage: Bacteria
Description: partial 16S ribosomal RNA
Rfam family: Bacterial small subunit ribosomal RNA
Source: RNAcentral